RNAcentral lists this long non-coding RNA (554 nucleotides) under Pan troglodytes (chimpanzee). RNAcentral describes it as "lincRNA". The record is from RNAcentral. Lineage: Eukaryota; Metazoa; Chordata; Mammalia; Primates; Hominidae.
GUGCCAGCCAACUGUGGCUGCCUGGGACACUCCAUCUUAAGUCCCUGUGCCUCUGCUGUGUGUUACUGAGUGCCUAGGCCGUGCCAGCCUGUAUUCAUCUGUACUAUGACCUGAAGAGGCAGAGGCCAUCAUUGUUGGUCUGGUCUCCACCUGGGGAAACUGAGGUUGCACAGUGUCUCUGUGGUGACGAGCAGGGCUUCAUCCAGUGCCUCUGUCCCCACCGAGGGGACUGUGGGAGCCAUGGAGGGUGUGUGAGCAACAGGUGAGACUGGAGCCAGCUGAAAACUGGGAGACCGACCCAGCCAACAAACAAUGUCGGUCUCUGUCCUGGCACCCGCAGGAAACAAGCUCCUACUUCCAGAAAAAGUGCUCCUGGGACUCCAGGAUACCAAGCAUCUGGACGCGGUGGUACAUGCCACCACUUAGGCAGGAGGAUCACUCGAGCCCAGAAGAUCAAGACUAGUGUGAGCAACAAAAUCCUUCCCUGGCACCGGUUCCAAGAGGACCUGGUUCUUAGGCAGCAUCUGUGUCUCUGUUUUGUAAGACACACAGAG